Molecule: ribosomal RNA, 100 nt
Filed under: Crocodylus porosus (Australian saltwater crocodile)
Lineage: Eukaryota; Metazoa; Chordata; Crocodylia; Crocodylidae
Source: RNAcentral
UUGAGCAGACAUAUGGACUGAAUGCACCCUGGAAGCUAAGCAGUCCUGGGCCUGGCUAGUGCUUGGAUGGGAGUUCACCUCUGAGCGCCAGGCACUAGAG